This 438-nucleotide ribosomal RNA is filed under the name Gillisella vitis. RNAcentral's name for it is "bacterial SSU rRNA". It matches the Rfam family "Bacterial small subunit ribosomal RNA", at positions 117 to 590 of the family's 1533-position model. The record is from RNAcentral. Lineage: Bacteria; Pseudomonadati; Pseudomonadota; Alphaproteobacteria; Hyphomicrobiales; Rhizobiaceae.
GUGGGAAUCUACCGUACCCUACGGAAUAGCUCCGGGAAACUGGAAUUAAUACCGUAUACGCCCUUCGGGGGAAAGAUUUAUCGGGGUAUGAUGAGCCCGCGUUGGAUUAGCUAGUUGGUGGGGUAAAGGCCUACCAAGGCGACGAUCCAUAGCUGGUCUGAGAGGAUGAUCAGCCACAUUGGGACUGAGACACGGCCCAAACUCCUACGGGAGGCAGCAGUGGGGAAUAUUGGACAAUGGGCGCAAGCCUGAUCCAGCCAUGCCGCGUGAGUGAUGAAGGUCUUAGGAUUGUAAAGCUCUUUCACCGAUGAAGAUAAUGACGGUAGUCGGAGAAGAAGCCCCGGCUAACUUCGUGCCAGCAGCCGCGGUAAUACGAAGGGGGCUAGCGUUGUUCGGAAUUACUGGGCGUAAAGCGCACGUAGGCGGAUAAUUAAGUCA